CAGAGCCGCUGAGCUGUACAACUUCUGAAGUUUGGAGCAUCCAGUAAAUGAUGAUCGAAUGUGUAAACAGCAUCAUCUUGAUGGGAUGCCAGGUUUUUAGCCCAUAGAGAGAAAUCUCAUGUGGCUUCAUAUGGCACUUUGGAACAACCACCAAAUUUUGUUGACAAAAUGGAUGCAAAGUAUCUCCCAAACUUCCAGAUCCAGGAUGACUUCACCAUUUUAUUUUUCAGCAAUAAUAAUAAUAAUGAUAUCAACAAAAACAACUAAAGUAACAGCAACAAUCAUUUAGGUAAGUGGGCUCAUUGCCUUUUACAACAUGCUUCUAUUCAUAUUUUUUACUUGAUUUUCACAAAUAUGAGAUAAAAGUAGAUUUUACUCACUUCAGUGAACAAUGGAGAGGAUGGAAGUUCUGAGAUAAGAAAGGACUUACACAGAUGAUUGGAACAAAUAAUAAAAGAUGCAAUGGGCCUGGGAUUUGGACCAAGGACCUUGGAUUUCUCAGCAUCAUAAUGCUUUUUUUUUUUUAACCCUCAAAACAGGCCUGCUAAUAAAGACACUUUAUACUGAGAGAGAUUCUUUGUACAAUAGCCACUUCGUUUUCAUUUUGUUUAAUCAUUACUUUAAAGACAAAAUGAAGUUGUAUUUGUCCCAUUUCACAAAUGGAGAAAGACAAGCCCCAAGGGAAUUUAAGAAUGUCCAUGUUUUUAUGGCCAGUUACCCAGUGAGAGAAGCACAUAGAAAAAUCCUAACCUACUGAUUAAUUUCUUAAGUUGUGUCUGCUAAAACAGAAGUGCUCAGGAGCCAGGGAGCACAGGCAGCCAUAAAUAUCAGGAUGCUCUUGGUGGACUAUUAAUAAUAAUUAUUGCUAUAGUUUUAGAAUUGUGCAUUUCUUUGGGUUUGAACUUAUGAUUUCUUCAAUAUAGUCAAAGAAAAAUAUAUGUCUAUAAUACUAGCAUUAUACACCUUUAAGGCUCUGAUAUGGAUUCAUAUUCAAAAUUCUAGGAGGUUCUCUGAUUUCAAUUAAGCAAAUACAUCUUAAUCAUUGCCCCAGUUUGUUCUCUAGUCCACAUCCCUUAGUAGAUAAAAAUGUAACUCUAAUACCAAUUAAUAAAUGACCACUUUUUCAGUCCAGGCUUCCCAAAUCCAGAGACAAAAAUACAGAUCGCCAAUGUUUUUUUUUUGUUUGUUUUCUUCUUUUUUUUUUUUUUGGUAACAAAAAAAUUCAACUUCAGGUAGUUUAAAAUGGGAUUCAGGCCUUUUUAGUUUCCCCUGGAUUUUGUUGUUUAGGGUAGGUUGGGCAGCAGGAAAAGAGUUUGGGAAAUAUAUCAAUGAGUCCUUCUCUCUAAGAACAAAAAGACAAAACAAAACAAACAAAAAAACAAACAAACAAAAACCGGAGAAACAAAAAGAAAAAAAAACCUCAGUGUUCUCUGAUUUUAAGGCCAGACAACAACCAAAAAGCUUUAUUGUUUCUUUGUGAAUCUUUCCAACUGCAGUGGAAAUCUCAAGAGGAGAUUUAGCUUAAACCAGUUAAGCCGUUGCAUCCAAUAUUUUACAGAGUCCAAGUCUGGACUCAAUGUCUGGACACGUGAACAUGUCUAGUUAGAGGUGUUUGGGUUAAUGCACAUUCUUCAUGUGGUUUGGAUCACUUCUGUGGCCAAACUCUACUCCUUGCCACUCCACAGUGGCAAGUCUUGAAAUUCACCAGACAGGUCAUAAAAUCCUCAGGACAAUUGAAGGAUAAAGAAUAUAAAAAUAAUUCAGAGUUAUACAUUCUGAUGAAUUGUAUUUUAUUACUUAUAAAUAUGUCAAAAUGAAAAAAAAAAUGUAUUGGUGGUCUCAUCACUGUUUUAGGCUACCUAAUUUGAAAUCAAAUAAAAAGAAGAAAGCCUAAAAAACAUAGUGAG
RNAcentral lists this long non-coding RNA (1907 nucleotides) under Homo sapiens (human). Its description in RNAcentral is "HSALNT0399633". Lineage: Eukaryota; Metazoa; Chordata; Mammalia; Primates; Hominidae. The record is from RNAcentral.